RNAcentral lists this long non-coding RNA (2448 nucleotides) under Ananas comosus (pineapple). RNAcentral's name for it is "long non-coding RNA (ACOM_LNC003892)". The record is from RNAcentral. Lineage: Eukaryota; Viridiplantae; Streptophyta; Magnoliopsida; Poales; Bromeliaceae.
UUGGUUGCUUGUGAUCUUUUGACCAUCACAUAGACCAUAGCCUGUAGAGCCAUACUGAGUUGGACAGAGAUACGUACUAUUAGACUCGGUAGGGUCGUGUAAGGACUGAGAUUUUUAUUGCAGUGUUUAAACUCUCAGUUAGACGAUGUUAUGUGGAAUUUAAUUACAUAGCACCGUCAGUUUCAGAAGAAAAUGAGCUUAAAAUGGAAAGAUACGCGAUUUUUAGUUUUCACUUAAAGUGAAUAGUAACUCCAGUUUUCCGGAGAAGCCACCGGAGUAGAGUUGGCUUCUGGUGUGUUCGAACUCGUCAUCGCAGUCCAAUAGUUCGUUCGACCGGUUCAGCAUUCUGGAACUACUGGUGCUGAUGGGAUUUUGGAGUUUUACGCACGGAUUUCGAGAAAAUCAAAAAACAUGUUUUAAUGUAUUUAUGUGGUGUGUUUCCUUCUAUGUUUCGAAGAAGGUUGAGAUUUUUGUCCGUGAAUCCGUGGUCGAUCAGAUGCAAACGAAAUCGCAGCUUUGUUUCUCCGUCGUGCUGAUCGCACUGGUGACCGUUCGCAAAUCUGACGGACGGCAUCUGGCGGAUAUGAGCGUUGAUCGAGAGAGGUCGUGUUAGCAAAACGGUAUUUUCCAAAAAUAGUCGCGAUAUUUUGAUGUAACCGUUUCGCGUGAGAUCGCACGUGAGGGCUUCAUCGCGUUUAGUCAUACUGUGAGGGACUCGGAUUGAAAUUCGAUGUUUGAGGGGCUUUCUCGCUUAAGAUUGCACCGUAUAUAGUUGUUUUAGGGUUUGACCAUCUACCUAACCUAGCCUUGCCCCUAUCCCCUACCUGCCUCCCCCACAUCCCGACGCCUUCCCCCGCGGCCCCGGCCUCCUGAGCACCCCGCUGCCGAGCUCUCCCUCAUCCACCCCUUCAUCUUUCCUCCAUCUCUUUCUCUCUCUCCCUCUCUCCCUCGGGUUGUGUAAGGCCCGGGCUGCGCCUCCUGCAACUCCCCGGGAUCACCGUGCUCCUCGACGUCCGCGACCGUCGCCCAUCGCCGGUGCCGCGCUGCUGUGCUCCGGUCCUGCUGCAACCAGGCCCGAGCCUGGGCCGAGCGGGUUGCCGACAGCCGCCAGCGCGCCGCACCCGCCUAGAACCUCUGUCGACUCCUCCGUGCCGGCGCCCCUUCCCGCCGGUCGCCGCCGCCCCGACGCGCCGCCGUCGCCGCCUCGGCCAGCCGCGGCCGCCCCAGCCGAGCCCAGGUUGAUUCUUGUUUGCGGUCUCUUUCCCGCGCCGCCGCCGCUCGAGGCUGCCUCCUUCCUGCUCCUCUGGCCUCUGGGGACCCGCAGCCGACGUCCCCGACCUUCCCCGGCCGCCGCCGUGGCCGGAGAAACCCGCCGAGCCCGAGCUUCUCUCUUGCGGGCUCGGGUUGCUCCGCCGACGCCGCCGCCGCUUCUCGUCGCCAACCGAGGUGAGCACGGUGUUCCUCACCUCCCCCGCACCCGCCCCUGGCCCCCGCGUGCGCCGCCGUGCCGUCGGAAGCCGGCCGGAGCAAGGUUGCUCCGGCCAAGCCCGAAAUAGGACUUUGUUUGGGGUGUUUGUUGUUCUGGGCUUUCCGAGCCUCCCCGACCUCUACAGAAGGGAGCACGACGAUUCUGGGAAGUUGCUGAUCAUCGUGCUCACCUUGGUUUCUGUCGGGAAGGCUCCGUUCAGCUGUUUCGGCAUUGUCGACCCUGUAGAGCCUGUUUGGCUGCUGUUUUGGGUUUGCGCACGCUUAUCCGGCGAUCCGAGGCUGUCCUAAUGCCUCCGGAGGUGAGCACGGUGAUCGUUGGUCAGUGCUGAUCACAGUGCUCACCUCACUUUGGAUCAGCAGUGUCCGGUUAGCCCUGUUUAGCGCGAUCUUCCCCGACUGCGCGCUAUUUGCUGAACUUUCGGGUUGCUCCCGCGCUUCCCACAGCGAGCCGUUGUGCUCCGAAUCAUGAGCAUGGCCUCCGGUACGUCGAGACCUGUCAGUACGUGUCUCGGCCAAACUUAGAAGUCCUCAGUUUGUGAGAAUGAGUCAUAGAAGUCGCCAGAUUUAUAUAAAAUAAUGGAUUUUAUGUAAACACGGGGGCUUUUGUGCAAUUGUAUGCCUUGUGGCUACUGAGGGCAAUGUGUAUGAGUGUGUUUGACCUCUGGACUGGUUGUCCAUGACCCGAUAGUCUUUGCGGAAAUUGAAAAGUCGAUUCCGGCGCGUUUUUCGGCGAAAUUUGACGAAAGAACGCAGUUUCGGUUCGGAUUUCUUCCGACGUCGUUUGGUUGCUCUGUUAGUAGUCGCUAAGCCUUGUUGGCUGGUCACCAUCAUCACAUUGUGGGUUCGGUGAUGAUGGGUGAGCGACAGUGGGUUCCGGUGUCGAAAUAGACACUUUCGGGAACCCGGAUUCGUACAAUUAUCCGGCGAUAAUUGUGUAGUGAUGUUAUCUUGUGUUUGCUG